ACACUCACUGGGCAGAAGAGCCAGGAUUAGGAAGGCUGCUUCCCAGGGUGAGGCUCCUCCCUGUGCUCGGGAGGCGCUGGCCCCUGCUGCCUUCUCCAGUUCACAGAACUCAGCUGCCUGAUUUGUAGUAGUGGGAGACGUGUUCACCCUCAAC
Molecule: small nuclear RNA, 154 nt
Filed under: Peromyscus maniculatus bairdii (prairie deer mouse)
Lineage: Eukaryota; Metazoa; Chordata; Mammalia; Rodentia; Cricetidae
Description: U1 spliceosomal RNA (ENSPEMG00000000927.2)
Source: RNAcentral